Molecule: ribosomal RNA, 449 nt
Filed under: uncultured bacterium
Lineage: Bacteria
Description: bacterial SSU rRNA
Rfam family: Bacterial small subunit ribosomal RNA
Source: RNAcentral
ACCCAGACUCCUACGGGAGGCAGCAGUGGGGAAUAUUGCACAAUGGGGGAAACCCUGAUGCAGCGACGCCGCGUGAGUGAAGAAGUACUUCGUUAUGUAAAGCUCUAUCAGCAGGGAAGAAAAUGACGGUACCUGAGUAAGAAGCCCCGGCUAACUACGUGCCAGCAGCCGCGGUAAUACGUAGGGGGCAAGCGUUAUCCGGAUUUACUGGGCGUAAAGGGGGCGCAGACGGCGAUGCAAGCCAGGAGUGAAAGCCCGGGGCCCAACCCCGGGACUGCUCUUGGAACUGCGUGGCUGGAGUGCAGGAGGGGCAGGCGGAAUUCCUGGUGUAGCGGUGAAAUGCGUAGAUAUCAGGAGGAACACCGGUGGCGAAGGCGGCCUGCUGGACUGCAACUGACGUUGAGGCCCGAAAGCGUGGGGAGCAAACAGGAUUAGAUACCCCGGUAAGC